This 790-nucleotide long non-coding RNA is filed under the name Vulpes vulpes (red fox). Its description in RNAcentral is "lncRNA (ENSVVUG00000011332.1)". The record is from RNAcentral. Lineage: Eukaryota; Metazoa; Chordata; Mammalia; Carnivora; Canidae.
AUGGUUGCUUCUAAGGAGUCUUUAAACGCUUCUGUAGAUACGGGGAGAAAAGAAGNCGAAAAAAAAAAAAAAAAAAAAAAAAAAAAAAAAAAAAAGGCAGGGCACGCUCCAACUGCACGGUCACCGGGCCGCUCGGGGUCAAGGCCCUCGGGCUCCAUCCACCUGGACGCGGACGUGGUCAGCACGAGGGCCCAGGUGGCAGCUGAGAGCGCGCGCAGCAGGGACAACGGUCUGAACCGGGGGCUGGGGGCGCGGGUCCCCCAGGGGCCCGUCAAUACACCGCAGCCCCCUGAGCCGGGGCCCAGACACCCCCACCCUGGGGCCGGGAUUCAUUGUUGGCAGGAGGCUCCCAUCGGACGCGGGACCCCCAAGGGGCCGAGCCAGGGCCGAGGGCAAGUCCCUUUUGUAGAACGCCAGGAUCUGCUAUUUCUUCUAAGCUCCCCUCUUGUUGCUGUGAGCAAGUGCCUAGAGACACCUGGCUUAGAGACCUCGGAGAGAGUCCCUCGGAGACUAAUACUGCAACCGAACCAAAGCUGGAGAACCUAAGGAAGAUAAUAAUGCAUUACCGUCAACUAUAUAUUCUUCAAUUUAAGGGACACCUAAGUGGUUCAGUUGAUUGAGCAUCCAGACUCCUGAUUUCAGCUCAGGUCAUGAUCUCGGAGUCGUGGACUCAAGCUCCAUGUCAGGCUCUGGGCUCCACACAGAUUCUGCUUGAGAUUUCCCUCUCUCUCUCUCUCCCUCUGCUCCUCCCUGCCUUCUCAAAUAAAUUAAUUACUUUUUAAUCUUUACA